GGCGCGGUCGCUUAGUGGUAUAGCGUGGAUCUGAAAAAUCCAUAUCCCUUCCCGGAUCCGCGGGUUCAAAUCCCGUCCGCGCCG
Molecule: transfer RNA, 84 nt
Filed under: Candidatus Nitrosopumilus sp.
Lineage: Archaea; Thermoproteati; Nitrososphaerota; Nitrososphaeria; Nitrosopumilales; Nitrosopumilaceae
Description: Nitrosopumilus sp. tRNA-Phe
Rfam family: tRNA
About the family: Transfer RNA (tRNA) molecules are approximately 80 nucleotides in length. Their secondary structure includes four short double-helical elements and three loops (D, anti-codon, and T loops).
Source: RNAcentral